This is a ribosomal RNA of Pseudogymnoascus verrucosus, 120 nucleotides long. NCBI's taxonomy places the organism in Eukaryota, Fungi, Ascomycota, Leotiomycetes, Thelebolales, Thelebolaceae. The record is from Rfam.
ACAUACGACCAUAGACUCAAGAGAACUGGGCAUCCCGUCCGCUCUGCCAUACAUAACCUUGAGAUCGGUGGAUUAGUAGUUGGGUGGGUGACCACCAGCGAAUACCCACUGUUGUAUGUC